Spea bombifrons (plains spadefoot toad) is the source of this 182-nucleotide small nuclear RNA. RefSeq annotates it as U2 spliceosomal RNA. Lineage: Eukaryota; Metazoa; Chordata; Amphibia; Anura; Pelobatidae. The record is from RefSeq and is a predicted model, not a curated record. The transcript has a single exon.
AUCACUUCUCUGCCUUUUGGCAAAGAUCAUGUGUAUUAUCUGUUUUUAACAGUUUAAUAUCUAAUACGCAUACUUAAAAUGGAUGUUUAGAACAGAGGUCUGGAUAUCUUUAGAUAGAGUCCAGGUGAGAUGGAUCUAUUUAAGUGUUGUCUUGUUAUACUCUGAAGACGUGGCAAAUAUAU